RNAcentral lists this ribosomal RNA (1871 nucleotides) under Salmonella enterica subsp. enterica serovar Enteritidis. Its description in RNAcentral is "partial 23S ribosomal RNA". It matches the Rfam family "Bacterial large subunit ribosomal RNA", at positions 949 to 2803 of the family's 2925-position model. Lineage: Bacteria; Pseudomonadati; Pseudomonadota; Gammaproteobacteria; Enterobacterales; Enterobacteriaceae. The record is from RNAcentral.
GCAAACUGCGAAUACCGGAGAAUGUUAUCACGGGAGACACACGGCGGGUGCUAACGUCCGUCGUGAAGAGGGAAACAACCCAGACCGCCAGCUAAGGUCCCAAAGUCAUGGUUAAGUGGGAAACGAUGUGGGAAGGCCCAGACAGCCAGGAUGUUGGCUUAGAAGCAGCCAUCAUUUAAAGAAAGCGUAAUAGCUCACUGGUCGAGUCGGCCUGCGCGGAAGAUGUAACGGGGCUAAACCAUGCACCGAAGCUGCGGCAGCGACGCUUAUGCGUUGUUGGGUAGGGGAGCGUUCUGUAAGCCUGCGAAGGUGGCCUGUGAGGGUUGCUGGAGGUAUCAGAAGUGCGAAUGCUGACAUAAGUAACGAUAAAGCGGGUGAAAAGCCCGCUCGCCGGAAGACCAAGGGUUCCUGUCCAACGUUAAUCGGGGCAGGGUGAGUCGACCCCUAAGGCGAGGCCGAAAGGCGUAGUCGAUGGGAAACGGGUUAAUAUUCCCGUACUUGGUGUUACUGCGAAGGGGGGACGGAGAAGGCUAUGUUGGCCGGGCGACGGUUGUCCCGGUUUAAGCGUGUAGGCUGGUUUUCCAGGCAAAUCCGGAAAAUCAAGGCUGAGGCGUGAUGACGAGGCACUACGGUGCUGAAGCAACAAAUGCCCUGCUUCCAGGAAAAGCCUCUAAGCAUCAGGUAACAUCAAAUCGUACCCCAAACCGACACAGGUGGUCAGGUAGAGAAUACCAAGGCGCUUGAGAGAACUCGGGUGAAGGAACUAGGCAAAAUGGUGCCGUAACUUCGGGAGAAGGCACGCUGACACGUAGGUGAAGUGAUUUACUCACGGAGCUGAAGUCAGUCGAAGAUACCAGCUGGCUGCAACUGUUUAUUAAAAACACAGCACUGUGCAAACACGAAAGUGGACGUAUACGGUGUGACGCCUGCCCGGUGCCGGAAGGUUAAUUGAUGGGGUCAGCGCAAGCGAAGCUCCUGAUCGAAGCCCCGGUAAACGGCGGCCGUAACUAUAACGGUCCUAAGGUAGCGAAAUUCCUUGUCGGGUAAGUUCCGACCUGCACGAAUGGCGUAAUGAUGGCCAGGCUGUCUCCACCCGAGACUCAGUGAAAUUGAACUCGCUGUGAAGAUGCAGUGUACCCGCGGCAAGACGGAAAGACCCCGUGAACCUUUACUAUAGCUUGACACUGAACAUUGAGCCUUGAUGUGUAGGAUAGGUGGGAGGCUUUGAAGCGUGGACGCCAGUCUGCGUGGAGCCGACCUUGAAAUACCACCCUUUAAUGUUUGAUGUUCUAACGUGGACCCGUUACCCGGGUUGCGGACAGUGUCUGGUGGGUAGUUUGACUGGGGCGGUCUCCUCCUAAAGAGUAACGGAGGAGCACGAAGGUUGGCUAAUCCUGGUCGGACAUCAGGAGGUUAGUGCAAUGGCAUAAGCCAGCUUGACUGCGAGCGUGACGGCGCGAGCAGGUGCGAAAGCAGGUCAUAGUGAUCCGGUGGUUCUGAAUGGAAGGGCCAUCGCUCAACGGAUAAAAGGUACUCCGGGGAUAACAGGCUGAUACCGCCCAAGAGUUCAUAUCGACGGCGGUGUUUGGCACCUCGAUGUCGGCUCAUCACAUCCUGGGGCUGAAGUAGGUCCCAAGGGUAUGGCUGUUCGCCAUUUAAAGUGGUACGCGAGCUGGGUUUAGAACGUCGUGAGACAGUUCGGUCCCUAUCUGCCGUGGGCGCUGGAGAACUGAGGGGGGCUGCUCCUAGUACGAGAGGACCGGAGUGGACGCAUCACUGGUGUUCGGGUUGUCAUGCCAAUGGCACUGCCCGGUAGCUAAAUGCGGAAGAGAUAAGUGCUGAAAGCAUCUAAGCACGAAACUUGCCCCGAG